Molecule: ribosomal RNA, 474 nt
Filed under: uncultured organism
Description: partial 16S ribosomal RNA
Rfam family: Bacterial small subunit ribosomal RNA
Source: RNAcentral
CACUCCUGCGGGAGGCAGCAGUGGGGAAUAUUGCACAAUGGGCGCAAGCCUGAUGCAGCCAUGCCGCGUGUAUGAAGAAGGCCUUCGGGUUGUAAAGUACUUUCAGCGGGGAGGAAGGCGAUAAGGUUAAUAACCUUGUCGAUUGACGUUACCCGCAGAAGAAGCACCGGCUAACUCCGUGCCAGCAGCCGCGGUAAUACGGAGGGUGCAAGCGUUAAUCGGAAUUACUGGGCGUAAAGCGCACGCAGGCGGUCUGUCAAGUCGGAUGUGAAAUCCCCGGGCUCAACCUGGGAACUGCAUUCGAAACUGGCAGGCUAGAGUCUUGUAGAGGGGGGUAGAAUUCCAGGUGUAGCGGUGAAAUGCGUAGAGAUCUGGAGGAAUACCGGUGGCGAAGGCGGCCCCCUGGACAAAGACUGACGCUCAGGUGCGAAAGCGUGGGGAGCAAACAGGAUUAGAAACCCGUGUAGUCCCAUG